AUUUAAUAUUAAAGGGCUGCAGUAUAUUGACUGUACAAAGGUAGCAUAAUCAUUAGUCAUUUAAUUGAUGACUUGUAUGAAAGAUUGGAUGAAAUAUUAGCUGUCUCUUAAUUAGAAAUAGAAUUUAAUUUUUUAAUUAAAAAGUUAAAAUAGUUUAAAAAGACGAGAAGACCCUAUAGAGUUUUAUAAAUAAAUUAAUUGAGGUUAUUUAUAUUUAAUAAAAUUAAAAUUAGUUUAAUUAUUGUGUUGGGGUGAUAGAAAAAUAUAUUUAACUUUUUUUAUAUUUAAAACAUUUAUAAGUGGUUAAAUGAUCCAAUAUUAUUGAUUAUAAGAAAAAAUUACCUUAGGGAUAACAGCGUAAUUUUUUUUUUUAGUUCACAUAAGAAAAAGAGUUUGCGACCUCGAUGUUGGAUUAAGAUAAAAUUUAAAUGCAGAAG
This 437-nucleotide ribosomal RNA is filed under the name Sesamia sylvata. Its description in RNAcentral is "partial 16S large subunit ribosomal RNA". The record is from RNAcentral. Lineage: Eukaryota; Metazoa; Arthropoda; Insecta; Lepidoptera; Noctuidae.